AUUGAACGCUGGCGGUAGGCCUAACACAUGCAAGUCGAACGGCAGCACAGUAAGAGCUGGCUCUUAGGGGAGGCGAGUGGCGGACGGGUGAGGAAUACAGGGGACUCUACGUUGUCGGGGGGGAUAACGUGGGGAAACUUACGCUAAUACCACAUACGACCUACGGGAGAAAGCAGGGGAUCUUCGGACCUUGCGCGAGGGAGUGAGCCGAUGGCGGAUUAGCUAGUUGGCGGGGUAACGGCCCACCAAGGCGACGAUCCCUAGCUGGUCUGAGAGGAUGAUCAGCCACACUGGAACUGAGACACGGUCCAGACUCCUACGGGAGGCAGCAGUGGGGAAUAUUGGACAAUGGGCGCAAGCCUGAUCCAGCCAUACCGCGUGUGUGAAGAAGGCCUUCGGGUUGUAAAGCCCUUUUGUUGGGAAAGAAAAGAAGCAGGUUAAUACCCCGCUGUUCUGACGUUACCCACAGAAUAAGCACCGGCUAACUUCGUG
This 492-nucleotide ribosomal RNA is filed under the name uncultured bacterium. RNAcentral's name for it is "partial 16S ribosomal RNA". It matches the Rfam family "Bacterial small subunit ribosomal RNA", at positions 30 to 507 of the family's 1533-position model. The record is from RNAcentral.